AUGAAGACCGUGACAAAGUUGUUAUGGAGUCAGAUAGCGAUCUCACAGCAGCCGUUGAGCAUGCAAAGUUAGCUGGUUUCAAGGGUUUGAGAUUGCAUUUAGACUAUUCUGGAAUACGUGGUGGUCGUAGGAGUUCGACUUCAGGAGAGAUGUAUUAUGCUCAUGCAGAUGCAUGGGCUGCUGCAUACAGUGCAGUUGCAGCGGGUGCGGCUCUGGUUGCUGGGUUAGGUGUACUAGCGUACUUGAGAAGAUCUGGUUACUAAUGCCUAAAUGAAAGGGGGGAAAAAAGAAUUAACAGUUCACACAAAUUAAUCUCCUGUACUAAAUGACCAAGAUGGAAUUGGCUGGGGGGGCAUUUCUUGUGCUUGAUGUGUGUUUUUUGUGGAACUACAUAUGCACAAGAAAAAAGAAAAAAAGAAAAAAAGAAAGAAGAAAAUUUCUUGGUGCUGGCCUGCUGGGUACUCCNNNNNNNNNNNACAUAAUCACAUGUAUUGAUUGCUGAUCAGGUACAUGUGUAUUCUUUCUGGUACAAAAAAUCUCCCACUUUCUCAGCCUGUUUUUUUCUAAAG
Molecule: unclassified non-coding RNA, 569 nt
Filed under: Hevea brasiliensis (rubber tree)
Lineage: Eukaryota; Viridiplantae; Streptophyta; Magnoliopsida; Malpighiales; Euphorbiaceae
Source: RNAcentral